Molecule: ribosomal RNA, 500 nt
Filed under: uncultured bacterium
Lineage: Bacteria
Description: partial 16S ribosomal RNA
Rfam family: Bacterial small subunit ribosomal RNA
Source: RNAcentral
AUUGAACGCUGGCGGAAUGCUUCACACAUGCAAGUCGAACGGCAGCACGGACUUCGGUCUGGUGGCGAGUGGCGAACGGGUGAGUAAUGUAUCGGAACGUGCCCAGUCGUGGGGGAUAACGUAGUGAAAAUUACGCUAAUACCGCAUACGAACUAUGGAUGAAAGCGGGGGAUCGCAAGACCUCGCGCGAUUGGAGCGGCCGAUAUCAGAUUAGGUAGUUGGUGGGGUAAAGGCCCACCAAGCCAACGAUCUGUAGCGGGUCUGAGAGGACGACCAGCCACACUGGAACUGAGACACGGUACAGACUCCUACGGGAGGCAGCAUUGGGGAAUUUUGGACAAUGGGCGAAAGCCUGAUCCAGCCAUUCCGCGUGCAGGAUGAAGGCCCUCGGGUUGUAAACUGCUUUUGUACAGAACGAAAAGGUUUCUACUAAUACUAGGAGCUCAUGACGGUACUGUAAGAAUAAGCACCGGCUAACUACGUGCCAGCCGCCGCCGUAA